This 253-nucleotide ribosomal RNA is filed under the name uncultured bacterium. Its description in RNAcentral is "partial 16S ribosomal RNA". It matches the Rfam family "Bacterial small subunit ribosomal RNA", at positions 524 to 776 of the family's 1533-position model. The record is from RNAcentral.
UACGUAGGGUGCGAGCGUUAAUCGGAAUUACUGGGCGUAAAGCGUGCGCAGGCGGCGCGUUAAGACAGGUGUGAAAGCCCCGAGCUUAACUUGGGAAUUGCGCUUGUGACUGGCGUGCUGGAGUGUGGCAGAGGGAGGUGGAAUUCCACGUGUAGCAGUGAAAUGCGUAGAGAUGUGGAGGAACACCGGUGGCGAAGGCGGCCAUCUGGACGACAACUGACGCUGAGACGCGAAAGCGUGGGGAGCAAACAGG